This 137-nucleotide microRNA precursor is filed under the name Erythranthe guttata (spotted monkey flower). RNAcentral's name for it is "Mimulus guttatus (spotted monkey flower) MIR394 microRNA precursor family". It matches the Rfam family "MIR394 microRNA precursor family". The record is from Rfam by way of RNAcentral. Lineage: Eukaryota; Viridiplantae; Streptophyta; Magnoliopsida; Lamiales; Phrymaceae.
CUACCAGAGUUUUUUGGCAUUCUGUCCACCUCCUGCUUUUUGAAUUAAUUUCUUAAUUAAGUAAUUAAUUAAUUGAUUUCUGUAAUUAAUUAAUAAAUAUGAAGGAGGUGGGCAUACUGCCAACUGAGUUCUGGUUU